GAUGAACGCUGGCGGCGUGCCUAACACAUGCAAGUCGAGCGAAAAGACGAGGAGUUUCCUCCUCUGACGUUAGCGGCACACGGGAGUAUAACAAGUGGAUAACUUAACUAUAAGACUAGGAUCACUUCGGAAACGGGUAGCUACUGCCGACUAAUAUCUUGAACCGCAUGGUUCAAUAGUGAACGCCGGUUUUGCUGUCACUUAACGAUGGAUCCGCGCCGGAUUAGCUAGUUGGUCAGGUAACGGCUUACCAAGGCGCCGAUGCGUAGCCGACCUGAGAGGGUGAUCGGCCACACUGGAACUGAGACACGGUCCAGACUCCUACGGGAGGCAGCAGUAGGGAAUCUUCCGCAAUGGGCGAAAGCCUGACGGAGCAACGCCGCGUGAGUGAUGAAGGUCUUCGGAUUGUAAAGCACUGUUGUUAGGGAAGAACAUAUGGGUAAGUAUAUGGGCAGAUCAUGACGGUACCUAAUCAGAAAGCCACGGCUAACUACGUG
RNAcentral lists this ribosomal RNA (497 nucleotides) under uncultured bacterium. RNAcentral's name for it is "partial 16S ribosomal RNA". It matches the Rfam family "Bacterial small subunit ribosomal RNA", at positions 28 to 507 of the family's 1533-position model. The record is from RNAcentral.